GGAAGGAUGUCGAGAGGGUUUUUUAGAAACUAAUAAAAAAACAAAUUACAUAGCUCGUCAGGAAACUGCAAGACAAAUUUAUUAAGCAUAAUUAAUCUGUCAUUAGCAUAACUGUAGCACUUAAGGCUAAUUAUGGAGUAACUAGCUUUAAAAGAUUCGUCUCGCGAUUCUUAACUAAACUGUGUAAUUAGUUUAUUUUUUUUAUCUACAUUUAAUGUUCCAUGCAUGUGUCCAAAGAUUCGAUGGGAUGGAUGAAAAAUUCUUAGGUGGAAAACUAAACAGGGCCUUAUACUAUACAUGCUCAAUGGCAAUCCCUUGCCUUUGGCCGGCCGACUGCAAGUCGGGGAUGUUGACUACACGCUGCAUCACACUCGAAUACAGAAGAGAACAGAACCAUGCAUGCAGCUUGCAGCAAGGCUUUUUUUGAGCGCUGGGACAAGCAGGCCACAGUACGUGUCAUCUGAAUCAAUUCAGACGGCACAAUCACAUGCCAGGCCCAGUUUUUAGCUGAUGCUACUGUUUACCUAGCGCGGCUGAUGAGUGCCUGAGACACAACAGAGAGCACAAGGCUCGCUCGUCCCUGUAGGUAGCUGUUGCAAGCAAAUAUACUGCCUGUCAGUGACGCAGAAGCAGCGACUUGUCCCGUGUAUAGUACGAGUACUCGCCUACUCGGCACUGCUGCUGCUCUCCCUCCCUUGGAGUGGACUCGUCACGUCAGGUCGUCAGGGCGGUCACGGGAAAGCCGUUGCGCCGCCUGCCCCUUCUGCGGGCCGAAUCUAACUGGCCCAAAGCCCAUGCUUCUGGAAGUCCAACAGCCCACCUCUGAUCUAGCUAUCCACACUUGAUAUAUAAUUAAUUCAUAGAGUAUUUUUACAAUGGUUAGAGAGACGAUGAAAAGCGAUUGGAUCCAGAAUAUAAAAAGCAAUAAGAGGUGAUGGAAGCAAGGUCAUGGGAGGCGAUAGGUGUGUCUAUAGUUGGUAGGCCAUAGACGUCACAUCGUCUUCUAUCGUCUCCGAAAUUAUGAUGAUUAGGACCCUAAAUAUAGGAGUGAUAUUUCCUUUUUUUGUAUUUCUUUUUUUUAAUGAAGGGUGAAAAGGUAAAUUUAUAAUUGUAAAAAUAAUAUUUUGAGUAGCAUAGUUAGGGUGUAUGAUUCAAGUACUAUAGUUAGUUAGAUAAAAAUCUUCUUCUUAAGUUUUUUUUUUAAAAUUUUCUUAGGGUUCCACCCGCUGGCGUCCAGUAGUGCGUGUUACAGGAAGCUGUCGUCGCCGAUGAUAGGAGUUGGGGUUUGAGAUAACCUUGUACAAUGACAUUAUUACCCUUCCACGAAUUAAAUCAAGAAACAAGUUUUUUAGCGGAGGCAAGGAGAGAUGAUUGGAAGAGAUUCCAAUCAUUGUAAAAGGUCUCCUAAUUUAUAUAUGCCCAUGCUUCGUUCAGCCUGACAAACCUACUCUUUUAUAUUAACUACUAAAUUUAUAGAAAAAAUAUAUAAAUGUUUAUAGUACCAAAUAAAUAGAUUAUAAAAUAUUUACGUUGAUGAUACUAAUUUAAUAUCGUAAGACUUCAUGUUUUUUUUAUGAACUUAAGAUGUACAACACUAAGUAUAUGAGUUAAUAAUUUAUUCAAAGCCAAGCAAGUACGUAUAUUAGAAGCCACGCCAGUGGUCGCCUUUUAUUAGUACUGUUCCGAUCUUGUAUCAUUUGUGUCACCUUGCUUAGCUACAAAUUAGAAUUGCCAAAAGCUUGUUUUGGAUGUCUAGCGAGCAUACCUUGAUCCCUGUGCUACCAAGAUUUUCUUUGCUUGAGCAAGAGAGGCCUUGUUUAGGCUGUGUUUAGUUUCUGAAGGAAAAAAAAUUUCGCGACACUAUAGUAUUUUCGUUUGUUUGUGGUAAUUAUUGUCCAACUAUGGACUAACUAGGCUCAAAAGAUUCGUCUCAUAAAUUUCGACCAAACUAUGCAAUUAGUUUUUAUUUUCGUCUAUAUUUAAUACUCUAUGCAUGUGUUUAAAGAUUCGAUGUGACGGAGAAUUUUGAAAAAUUUUGGGUUUUGGGUGGAAGUAAACAAGGCCUAAGUUCUGUCCCAACAACAAAAAAAACUUUUUAAGAUUUCCCGUCACAUCAAAUCUUGUGGCACAUAUAUAGAGAAUUAAAUAUAGAUGAAAACAAAAACUAACUAUCCAGUUUAUCUAUAAAUCGUGAGACGAAUCUUUUAAGCCUAGUACUCUAUAAUUAAAUAAUAUUUAUCAAAUAACAAAUAAAAUGCUAUAGUGUCAAAAUCUAAAGCCUUUUUGAAUCUAAACAAGGCGAGAGUCAAAUUUGGACUCUCCCGGUCUAGCAAGCCUCUUCUUAUUUGUGCCCGUCUAGCCAGGCAACGUAAGCUGGCUAGCCCCAAAACCACGCAUGCUCUAUAUCUAUGCCUAAUACUUAAUCAUGAAAAUUUCACUCUGCCAAAGAUUUAGCCGCCUCCCCCGUCGAGUGUCCAGUCCGAGUCCGUCGGUAGCCUCUCCCGUCUAGCGUCCGGUCCGAGUAUAUCCGUAGUGGAAGAAAAAAAUAAAAUAGAAAUAUUUCUAGGGUUCCUAAUAUAAAAUCUUCUAUACACAUUACACACACUCAAAAUAAGAAAAGUACAAGGACAUAAAUGCAAAGUGUUUGUCCUAUUAAUUUACUUUUCUUUUAUUCUUUAAAUUGGUUCAAAAUUGAUAAAUGCAUAGUAAUUUAUAGAAAAAUCUAAAAAUUAUAAAAUAAUUUUUGUUCAGCUCCACAUAUAUAGAUCCAUGCAGUAAACAAAAAUAUCACAAAUUUUAGUAUAUUUUUUUUGCUGAAGAUGCUUGUCUAUGCUUUUUAGUGUAAAAUUGAUCGGUUGAAAAUUGAUAAAUGCGUAGUAAUUCAUAGAAAAAUCUAAAAAUUACAAAAUAAAUUUUGUUCAGCUCCACAUAUAUAAAUCCAUGCAGUAAAUAAAAAAUAUCAUAAAUUUUAGUAUAUUUUUUGCUGGAGAUGCUUGCCUAUGCUUUUUAGUGUAAAAUUAAAAUUAUAGUUAUCUGCUCCAAUUAUUAUGAAAUUUUUAUGGUAGCCCAUUUAAUGUGAUGCUUGGUAAAUAUUUUAGCACCAUUCCUGUAUAUCUCACUGAUUUACUAAUUUACCUAAAUUUAUGCUUGAGGAUGCUUCCACUACCUUUGCACGAUGUGUUGUUAUGUCAUAUGAACACUUCAUAAGACUAUUUGUUCAUAAUCUACAUACAUUUAACUGAUAUAUCAUAUUUCAUAGGAAUCCUAAUCUAAAUAAAAAAUAAAGCUAGCAACAAACUUUUCAUGUUUUAAUAUAAUACUUCCUCCAUCCCAAAUUGUAAGUCAUUACAAGAAUCUUGGAGAGUCAAACUUUUCUAAGUUUGACCAAAUUUAUAUGAUAAAAUAAUUAUUAUUAUGAUACUAACUAAGUAUCAUUAGAUUCUUUCUUAAUUAUAUUUUCAUAGUAUACUCACUUUACGUUAUAAAUCUUAGUAUUUCUCUCUAUAGUUUUGGUCAAACGUGAAAAUACUUUGACUCUCCAAGAUUCUUGGAAUGACUUACAAUUUGGGAUGGAGAGAGUACUAAGGUAUAUUAUGAGGUAAUAUUAGAGUAAGAUAAGGUUUGACUAAUUUCUAUUUUUAUUAUUAAACAAAUAUGUCUCCAAGACUCCAAGUUACAUAUUAUUGUAAAUAUUAACUAUCUAAUACCAUAGAUGUCAUGGUUAUCAAUAAAAGAAAUUAUAGAAUUUAAAUUUUAUAAAAAAAGAUAAAUAUAAAUAGAUAUGUAACAUCCAUUUGAUGUUUUUCUCCUGUUGCAAUGCACGGAUAUAUUUGCUAGUAUUAUUUAAGUGGAGGGCUGGAUGAAUAUCUUCUUUCUUUUUUUGGCGAUGGUGCUAAAAAAGUGUCGUUUUAGAAUUUUAGACAUCUUAUUUGAUCAUUCGUCUUAUUUAAAAUUUUUACAUAAAUAUUAUAUAUUUUGUUAAGACCUAUUUUAUUAUUAGAGAUACUUUACUAAUGAUUUAUUUAUUUUAUAAUUUAUAUAAAGUUUUUGAAUAAGAUGAACGGUCAAACAUGAUUUUUAAAAGUAAAAAAUGUUAUUCUUUUUGGAUGGAGGGAGUAAGCAUAUGAUAGGAUCAGACAACCUAUACUAUAUCAUGUCUUUACUCCAUCAAUCUGUGCUCCCACAGACCAGAAUUUAUUGUCGGUUGCCAACACUAUAUUAUUGAACAUUAGAUACUACAGUUUAAUUACUACAACAUACUCAUAAAUCACUGCCGGGUGCCAACACUAUAUUACUGUCGGUUUUAUCAACAUGUAGUGGGCUUGGAAGGGUGCUAGUUUUUUUCUUUUUAUUUAAAUGACAAGUGCUAGUUUCGCCUAGGAAAUUGUGGCGGCAAUAGCAGCCGUGCAUGUGUGUUCCGUGUGGUUGCUGGCUGCAAUAUGGGCUACUCUAUUGGUGGCCUUAUUUGUGUAGUGGGCUUUAAACAUAUCAAACUAGGACUACCUGCUUCUUUUGGGCUAGGCAAACAUAUUUUAUUUUUCUUUUCUUUUUUAUAGAUAUCCUAGUUUCGCUCGCCCUCGCAGGUGAGCAACCAACAGUAUUUUCCUGCGAAAUUGCGGCGACGACGGCACCCGUGCAUGUGUGUUCCGUAUGGUUGCCAAUAUGGGCUACUCUAUUGGUAGCCUUAUUUGUGUAGUGGGCUUUAAACAUAUGGGCUAUCUAGGACUAUCUGGUUCUUUUGGGCUAGGCAAACAUAUUUUAUUUUUCUUUUCUUUUUUUGUAAAUAUCCUAUGAUCACGAACCUUGUUCCGGACUCAUCCUCCUCCUGAAGAAUGUUGGAUCAUGUUCCCCUUUCGAACCACUAUACCAAAGAGGUAUACACCCGACCUCGCCCCAAACUCAUUGGAUCACUUUCCCUUCUCGAACCACCGUUCUAAAAGGCAUACACUUGAGUGUAAUACCCGAUUUUAAGGACAAAACCAGAUAUGCACCAUAUGUGAGUUUUAAAAAACAAAUCUCACAUAUAGCUACAAAUAAAGGUAAUAUCAAAAGACAAUGCAUAAAUAUAUAACGUACAUAAUAUAAAAGAGAUAACCUUUAGCAUCAAACAGCGGAUAGACAACUCUAAACUUCGGGUAUUAACUUCUCUCCACAGGAUCCAACUGACUGGUUGAUCACAAGCCCAAAACAUCUCCUGAGGUGUGGGGGAAAUUGCAAGAGUGAGCACAUAUCGUACUCAACAAGUAUAACCAGGGGUUCAUGAGGCUCAAAUAGCUGACAUUGGUUUGACUGCAUUUAGCUUUUAAUAGUUGAUAGCAUGUUUAAUCAUUGGAUAGCAAAUGUCAAGGUAGCAUAAUAAAAUCCCAUAACCACAUGAUCAAUGUAUACAAGAAUUAUGAAUAACACAUAUAAACAACAUAAUAAACCAUCAUUUAUUAUCAUUAAUCAUGUUCAUCAGUGUCCAUCUAUUCCGUCAGUUUUCCGGGCCGCCCGUAUCCGUGGGCACGGCUAGUAUACCAGAUUUAACACUCUGCAGAGGUUGUACAUCUUUACCCAUGAGUCGUGAUUUACCCUUUCGCCCGAGGUCAUGAGUCUCUUAACCCCCUUCCAAGGGAGGUCGGCAGGGAUCACUAUGAAGCCAUUCAAAGGUUUCGUCUAACAAGUUAGGGCCAUUAGAUUCACUCGGCAGGCAGAUAUAGAGCCCUCCUUCCAUGGCACAUAACUCGCAGCCUAUACACACGGACAGAGGCCACACUAUACCCAACGUGUCUAGCCAUUCUUACGCCAUUUAAGGUAACCGCUAACAAGCUAGAAAAAGGUCCUCAUACUGAGCUAAAACCAGAGCCAUGUAGCCCUCAUGGUUGUACGAGUUGUCCCAGCUUUUGCCAAGGGAUAAGUUCUUAUGGAGGGUCAAGAUCAAUCUAGCAAAAGCUAGAGUUCUUUCCACCCUUUAUGUUCAAGUUGCUAGAAAGCUUAUUUUAUUGUUUAUUGUAUAUCCAAACAUUCAUGUUACAAGAUCAUGGAUUAUAAUCAAGCACUAGCAAGAACUACCCAAAUGCAUAUCCAAAUAGGUAACAAAGAAUUCAGGAUAACAAUCAUCUAUGAUUUUGCUAAGGUCAUCAAGGUGGACACAUGCAUAUGAUAAAUAUUGUAUUAAUGGUGUAUAGGUAACAAGGAUAGUCCCCAAUUAUACUUGCCUUGAUCAAAGCUCUCCUGAGCCUGCUGCUGAUCUUCAAAAGCUUCACCUUGAUCACCAACGUAUCGCUCACCGUCUAUACUCGAUCAUCAAUCAACAACACGCAAUCCAAUGUAGACAAGCUAUAUUUAGAACAAUACACCAAACAGUGGUAAAACAAAUAUAAAAGUUUAUCAAAAUAUUCUACGCAGCGCUACGAUCACAUAAACCUAAAGUUCACGGAAUUAAAACGUAAAAGAUAUGAAUUUUCGAAGAUUUCCUAUAGAUAAGUAAUUAAUUAAAUGCUACUGCGAAAAUAAAAAGUUUCAAAACAGAGAAUAUAUACUUCUAACAUGUAGAUCUCGUAAAUACGAAUCUAACAAAAUUUGAAUGGACAAAAACAGAGUUAAAACAAAUAUUUUAUGAGCAAAACAAAUACAGUGGCAAACUUGUAAUUUCCUGAAAACGUAUUU
RNAcentral lists this long non-coding RNA (6648 nucleotides) under Sorghum bicolor (sorghum). RNAcentral describes it as "long non-coding RNA (SBIC_LNC006063)". The record is from RNAcentral. Lineage: Eukaryota; Viridiplantae; Streptophyta; Magnoliopsida; Poales; Poaceae.